UACGGAGGGUGCAAGCGUUGUUCGGAAUCACUGGGCGUAAAGGGCGUGUAGGCGGUCCGCUAAGUCUGAUGUGAAAGCCCGAGGCUUACCCUCGGAAGUGCAUUGGAGACUGGCGGACUGGAGUCCCGGAGAGGAGGGUGGAAUUCCUGGUGUAGCGGUGAAAUGCGUAGAUAUCAGGAGGAACACCGGUGGCGAAGGCGGCCCUCUGGACGGUGACUGACGCUGAGGCGCGAAAGCUAGGGGAGCAAACGGG
Molecule: ribosomal RNA, 253 nt
Filed under: uncultured bacterium
Lineage: Bacteria
Description: partial 16S ribosomal RNA
Rfam family: Bacterial small subunit ribosomal RNA
Source: RNAcentral